GAGACCUCUCGGAGCGUAAACUCCUUUUCUUAGGGAAGAAUUCUGACGGUACCUAAGGAAUAAGCACCGGCUAACUCCGUGCCAGCAGCCGCGGUAAUACGGAGGGUGCAAGCGUUACUCGGAAUCACUGGGCGGUAAAGGGCGCGUAGGCGGAUUAUCAAGUCUCUUGUGAAAUCUAAUGGCUUAACCAUUAAACCUGCUUGGGAAACUGAUUAGUUCUAGAGUGAAGGGAAGAGGGCAGAUGGAAUUGGUGGUGUAGGGGGUAAAAAUCCGUAGAUAUCAACCAAAGAAUACCCCAUUGCGAAGGCGAUCUGCUGGAACUCAACUGACCGCUAAGGCGCGGAAAGCGUGGGGGAGCAAACAGGAUUAGAUACCCUGGUAGUCCACGCCCCUAAACGAUGUACACUAGUUGUUGGGGUGCUAGUCAUCUCAGUAAUGCAGCUAACGCAUUAAGUGUACCGCCUGGGGAGUACGGUCGCAAGAUUAAAACUCAAAGGAAUAGACGGGGACCCGCACAAGCGGUGGAGCAUGUGGUUUAAUUCGAAGAUACGCGAAGAACCUUACCUGGGCUUGAUAUCCUAAGAACCUUUUAGAGAUAAGAGGGUGCUAGCUUGCUAGAACUUAGAGACAGGUGCUGCACGGCUGUCGUCAGCUCGUGUCGUGAGAUGUUGGGUUAAGUCCCGCAACGAGCGCAACCCACGUAUUUAGUUGCUAACGGUUCGGCCGAGCACUCUAAAUAGACUGCCUUCGUAAGGAGGAGGAAGGUGUGGACGACGUCAAGUCAUCAUG
RNAcentral lists this ribosomal RNA (789 nucleotides) under Campylobacter coli. Its description in RNAcentral is "bacterial SSU rRNA". It matches the Rfam family "Bacterial small subunit ribosomal RNA", at positions 410 to 1197 of the family's 1533-position model. Lineage: Bacteria; Pseudomonadati; Campylobacterota; Epsilonproteobacteria; Campylobacterales; Campylobacteraceae. The record is from RNAcentral.